CCCUUAGAUGUUCUGGGCUGCACACGUGCUACACUGGCAGGUUCAGCGAGCUUCAUGCCCUGAUCUGAAAGGAAUGGGAAAUCUUUUCAAAACCUGCCGUGCUUGGGAUAGAUGUUUGCAAUUAUUCAUCUUCAACGAGGAUUGCCUCGUAAGCGCACGUCAUCAGCGUGCAUUGAAUACGACCCUGUAUUCUGUACACACCGCCCGUCGCUCCUACCGAUUGAAGUUUUCGGUGAGUUGACAGGAGGAUUUUUUUGAAACUGGUUCGCCAGUGGAUUUUAGAUCCAAAUGCCAACGAAUCGAUGGCUUUAGAGGAAGGAGAAGUCGUAACA
Molecule: ribosomal RNA, 332 nt
Filed under: uncultured eukaryote
Lineage: Eukaryota
Description: partial 18S ribosomal RNA
Rfam family: Eukaryotic small subunit ribosomal RNA
Source: RNAcentral